CACCUUAGUGAGAUUGAGUUGUGUCACUUCGAGUUGCUGUCGUCUUUAUCUUCAGAGUCGGAGGUUUAUUUUCCUUGUACCAGAUUUAAAGCAUCUGUUUGGAGCAGGUUCUUAUUUAUCGCUUUUAUUUAUUUAUUUACUUGUCUCACUUUUAUUUAUUUAUUUACUUGUCUCGCUUUUAUUUAUUUAUUUAUUUACUUGCCUCG
Molecule: long non-coding RNA, 206 nt
Filed under: Lathyrus oleraceus (garden pea)
Lineage: Eukaryota; Viridiplantae; Streptophyta; Magnoliopsida; Fabales; Fabaceae
Description: Pisum sativum (pea) long non-coding RNA (PSAT_LNC038283)
Source: RNAcentral